GUGUCCCGAGACGGCUCCUGGGAGGCGGGCUGCCUGUCUAAGUGGGGGUGGUGGGAUUCCGGCGGUACCUGCGCUGGAAGUCCACGGCGUAGGGCUUCAAGUACGGGUCGAUCUCCAGGAGUCUGGCCAGUUCGGGCACGUCAGCCAGGGCGGCAUUGAGCGCCGCCUCGUAGUCCUCGGGCCGAGCCGCGGGAGUCAUCGGAGCCGCCAUAUUCCGCCGCAGUCCAAGUAGCCGAGGCCCGAGAGGUCGAGUGGGGCCUGAGCGGGCGCUGGAGCUCUAGCUGGGACGCGGCGGCUAGGGCGGAGCCGGAGGGCGCCUAGGCGUGUCGAGGCAAGCCGAGGCGAGCCGCGGCGGUCCGG
This 360-nucleotide long non-coding RNA is filed under the name Homo sapiens (human). RNAcentral's name for it is "HSALNT0056717". The record is from RNAcentral. Lineage: Eukaryota; Metazoa; Chordata; Mammalia; Primates; Hominidae.